This 468-nucleotide ribosomal RNA is filed under the name uncultured bacterium. RNAcentral describes it as "partial 16S ribosomal RNA". It matches the Rfam family "Bacterial small subunit ribosomal RNA", at positions 28 to 507 of the family's 1533-position model. The record is from RNAcentral.
GAUGAACGCUGGCGGCGUGCUUAACACAUGCAAGUCGAACGGAGAGACCAGGGGUUUGUCUGUUGGACGAGUGGCGAGCGGGGGAGUAACACGUGAGGAAACUGCACCUGACUGUGGGAUAAGAGCUGGAAACAGCGGCGCAUACUGGAGAUGAGCUACUGAAGCGUAUUGUUCAGUUGUAAAAGACUGCGGUGAGGGAUGAGCUAGAGGCCUAUCAGCUUGUUGGUGAGGUAGGGGCGGACCAAGGCGUCGACGGGUAGCCGGCCUGAGAGGGUGACCGGCCACACGGGGACUGAGACACGGACCAGACUCCUACGGGAGGCAGCAGUGGGGAAUAUUGCACAAUGGGCGCACGCCUGAUGCAGCAACGCUGCGUGCGGGACGCCGGCUUUCGGGUUGUAAACAUCUUUUAGCGGGGAAGAAGAGAGAGUGACGGUACCUGCUGAAAAAGCGACGGCUAACUACGUG